RNAcentral lists this ribosomal RNA (520 nucleotides) under uncultured Glomus. Its description in RNAcentral is "SSU rRNA". It matches the Rfam family "Eukaryotic small subunit ribosomal RNA", at positions 569 to 1092 of the family's 1831-position model. The record is from RNAcentral. Lineage: Eukaryota; Fungi; Glomeromycota; Glomeromycetes; Glomerales; Glomeraceae.
CGCAGCCGCGGUAAUUCCAGCUCCAAUAGCGUAUAUUAAAGUUGUUGCAGUUAAAAAGCUCGUAGUUGAAUUUCGAGAUCAAAUUGUUGGUCGUGCCUCGGUACGCACUGGCAUUAUUGGUUUCUCCCUUCUGAAGAACCUUGAUGUCAUUAAUUUGGUGUCUUGGGGAAUCAGGACCGUUACUUUGAAAAAAUUAGAGUGUUUAAAGCAGGCUCACGCUUGAAUACAUUAGCAUGGAAUAAUGAAAUAGGACGUUUGAUUCUAUUUUGUUGGUUUCUAGGAUCGACGUAAUGAUUAAUAGGGAUAGUUGGGGGCAUUAGUAUUCAAUUGUCAGAGGUGAAAUUCUUGGAUUUAUUGAAGACUAACUACUGCGAAAGCAUUUGCCAAGGAUGUUUUCAUUAAUCAAGAACGAAAGUUAGGGGAUCGAAGACGAUCAGAUACCGUCGUAGUCUUAACCAUAAACUAUGCCGACUAGGGAUCGGAUGAUGUUAAUUUUUAAUGACUCAUUCGGCGCCUUAAC